UACGAAGGGGGCUAGCGUUGCUCGGAAUGACUGGGCGUAAAGGGCGCGUAGGCGGUUUGCAUAGUCAGACGUGAAAUUCCUGGGCUCAACCUGGGGGCUGCGUUUGAUACGUGCGGACUUGAGUUCGGAAGAGGGUCGUGGAAUUCCCAGUGUAGAGGUGAAAUUCGUAGAUAUUGGGAAGAACACCGGUGGCGAAGGCGGCGACCUGGUCCGGUACUGACGCUGAGGCGCGAAAGCGUGGGGAGCAAACAGG
Molecule: ribosomal RNA, 253 nt
Filed under: uncultured bacterium
Lineage: Bacteria
Description: partial 16S ribosomal RNA
Rfam family: Bacterial small subunit ribosomal RNA
Source: RNAcentral